RNAcentral lists this transfer RNA (73 nucleotides) under Candidatus Woesebacteria bacterium CG_4_10_14_0_2_um_filter_39_14. RNAcentral's name for it is "tRNA-Thr". It matches the Rfam family "tRNA". Rfam says of the family: Transfer RNA (tRNA) molecules are approximately 80 nucleotides in length. The record is from RNAcentral. Lineage: Bacteria; Candidatus Woeseibacteriota.
GCCUGGAUAGCUCAGUCGGUAGAGCGCGAACUUGGUAAGUUCGAGGCCACCAGUUCGAUCCUGGUUCCAGGCU